This 300-nucleotide ribosomal RNA is filed under the name uncultured Halococcus sp. RNAcentral describes it as "bacterial SSU rRNA". It matches the Rfam family "Bacterial small subunit ribosomal RNA", at positions 496 to 795 of the family's 1533-position model. The record is from RNAcentral. Lineage: Archaea; Methanobacteriati; Methanobacteriota; Halobacteria; Halobacteriales; Halococcaceae.
UCUGUGUUGGUGACAGGGCGAUGUGUAAUACGAAGGGUGCAACGGGUACUCGGAAUGGAUGGGCGGAAAGGGUGCGUAGGUGUGCUUGUAGUUCCGUUGUGAUAUCCCGGGGCUCAACCUGGGAAUGGCAGUGGAUACUGGAAGGCUAGAGUGCGGUAGAGGGUAGUGGAAUUGCCGGUGUAGCAGUGAAAUGCGUAGAGAUCGGGAGGAACACCAGUGGCUAAGGCGGCUACCUGGACCAGCACUGACACUGAGGCACGAAAGCGUGGGGAGCAAACAGGAUUAGAUACCCUGGUAGUC